Long non-coding RNA from Orcinus orca (killer whale), 3654 nucleotides. RefSeq lists it as uncharacterized. NCBI's taxonomy places the organism in Eukaryota, Metazoa, Chordata, Mammalia, Artiodactyla, Delphinidae. The transcript is spliced from 2 exons. The record is from RefSeq and is a predicted model, not a curated record.
GAUACGCGGGCCUCUCACUGUUGUGGCCUCUCCCGUUGCGGAGCACAGGCUCUGGACGCGCAGGCUCAGCGGCCAUGGCUCACGGGCCCAGCCGCUCCGCGGCAUGUGGGAUCUUCCCGGACCGGGGCACGAACCCAUGUCCCCUGCAUUGGCAGGCGGACUGUCAACCACUGCGCCACCAGGGAAGCCCUCCCCCAAAUAUUUUUAAGCCCUCUUGGGACGGGGAGACUGAACUGAGAUGGCCCUGGAGGCGCGUGGAGAAGGCUGAGUCACAGCCCCCAGCCCCGUCACAGUCCCGAGUUCCGCCACAGUCCCAAGUGGGGCCGGGUCAUUGGGGGUGCCUCCUAAAAAAUGGCUAAGUCCCCCUUUGGAGGCUGAGAUCAGCCCCGGUCGUCCAGGGAGUUCCGUGGACAGUGUCCCGGGCCCACCAGGCCAACCCCGGAUACUGAGCUGAGGUACACUGUUUGAGUGAGACCCAGGAGAGGUGGUGUCUAGGGGUCCAGGUCCGUCCAGGUCCGUCCAGGUCGCGCUGGUUGUCGGGCGCCACCUGGUGGCCUUUUUUUUUUUUUUUUUUUUUUUUAAAUAUAGUCCCCGGAGCUCCACUGAAGUGGGAUCCGACUGCCGAGCCCAAGGGCGAGUUCCAUAAGGCCGGCAGCGCCGUCUUCUGGGAUGCGACACUCUCUGCCUCCGAACACGGGCUCCUCUGAGGUUGUCUCUGCUGUAUUAAAGGAGAGGGGCAUCUGGGAACUGCAUGGCUGGCGCAUGGAAGUCCCCUCCACCAGCGAGGACUGACGAGGUGUUGUUGCAGGUGACCGGGGUAGGGCGCCCCGGACUCGGCUGCAUUCCCAUCUCGUGCCUGCUUGUCUGGAGUGCCUCCUGAGAAUUUUUCUAGGUCCCCCUCUUGGGGCCAGGAUCGCGCGGUGUACUGUUGCAUGAUGUGCGUCCAGAAAAUUUUCCCUUCUGAAGAGGGGACAGGGAGGCCGAGAGAGGGCACCCAAUGUCCAACUGCAGUUACACGGGGGGCCUGUUCUUGGACACUCCCCCCGUCCCCGAACCUUUGCAAGCCUCCCUCCAGUGGCAGGGACCAUCCCAGGCCAACCAGUGGGGUGCAGGGGUAGGUACCAUGGACAGGGUCCCCAGGAGAUGCUUGGUCAUCUGAAGUUGCUGGAAUCGGUUCCAAUUCUGCCUGGGGUGAGGGUGUGGUACUGGCCCUGGCAGGUGAAGGAGGUUCCAGUUAGAUGCCGUCGGGGCUUCAUUCCCAUGUGGGCCUUCCAAAAAGUUUCUUUUUUUUUUGCUUUUUUAUUGGGGUAUAGUUGCUUUACAAUGUGUUAGUUUCUGCUGUACAACGAAGUGAAUCAGCUAUAUGUAUACAUAUAUCCCCUCUUUUUUGGACUUCCUUCCCAUUUAGGUCACCACAGAGCAUUAAGUAGAGUCCCCUGUGCUACACGGCAGGUUCUCAUUAGUUACCUAUUUUAUGCAUAUUAGUGUAUAUAUGUCAAUCCCAAUCUCCAAAAAGUUUCUGUCUUCCUCAGAUGGCUGAAUCCUUAGGGGGCUGCAAGGGAGGCCUGAGGAGGUUGCUCUUGGGGUCAGCUGUCCUCAGCGGGACCCACUCACCACCUGUACCUCCUGAAAAUGUUUCCUGAGGGGAGGAAGGCCCCAGGUCAGGUCCCUAUACCAGGAGAACUACAGUCACAUGUGGGUCCUGUUCGCUGAAUCCACCACCUGAAACAUUUUCUAAGUCUCUCUGUAGUCACCAGUGAGCCAGCCAGAGAGGCCCUCCAGCUGCUGUGGGAGGAUGCCCGGAUCCUGUCCACAGCCCAGAUCAGGCCUGGUACUUGGAGGUGUCCCCCAAAACAUUUCUAAGUUCCCCCACCCAGGCUGUGACCAGCCCUGGCUGGACCUGGAGUCUGGAGAGAGCAUCCCUGUCUUGGUCGUGGGCUCACAUAGCCCCAGUUGUCAUAUUCGUCCCUUGAAAAUGUUUCCAAGUUCCCCUCAAGAAGGGGUCACCAGUGUGGGCUGGUGAGGGACACCUGAAGAGCAUACCUGGGCCUGGCUGUAGUCACAUAUGGGGCCUUGACAAACACGCCUUACCAAAUUUUUAUUUUACUUUAUUAAUUUUUAUUGGAGUAUAGUUGAUUUAAAAUGUGUUAGUUUCAGGUGUGCAGGCUUCUCAUUGUGGUGGCUUCUCUUGUUGCAGACCACAGGCUCUAGGUGCAUGGGCUUCAGUAGUUGUGGCAUGAAGGCUCAGUAGUUGUGGCUCACGGGCUUAGUUGUUCCACAGCAUGUGGGAUCUUCCCAGACCAGGGAUGGAACCCAUGUCCCCUGCAUUGGCAGGCGGAUUCUUAACCACUGUGCCACCAGUCCCUGGUUUGCUAAUUUUUUUGAGGAUUUUUGAAUCAAUAUUCAUCAGAGAUAUUGGUCUGUAGUUUUCUUUUCUUGUGGUGUCUUUAUCUGACUUUGGAAUCUGGGCAAUGCUGGCCUCAGUGAAUAAGUUAGGAAGUAUUCUCUCCUUUUAAAUUUUUUUUGAAGAAUUUGAGAAGUAUUGGUGUUAAUUCUUCUUUAAAUGUUUGCUAGAAUUUACCAGUCAAACUAUCUGGUCCUGGUCUUUUCUAUGUUGGGAGAUUUUUGAUUAAUGAUUUGUUCUCCUUACUAGUUGUAAGUCUAUUCAGUUUUUCUGUUUCUUCAUGAUUCAGUUUUGGUGUAUAGUGUACUUCUAGGAAUUUGUCCAUUUCAUCUAAAUUACCCAAUUUACUUGUGUAAAAUUAUUCAUUAUAUUCUCUUGUAAUCCUUUUAAUGUAAGAUCAGUAGUAACAUACACUCUUCCAUUUUUUAAUUUUAGUAGUCUGCAUCUUCUCUCAAUCUAGCUAAAUGUUUGUCAGUUUUGUUGAUCUUUUCAAAGACCCAAACUUGGUGUCAUUGAUUUUCUCCAUCGUUUUUCUUUUCUCUGUUAAAAAAAAACCUCUUUGUCUAGUAAGUCUGAUGUCUUGACUUCUUCAGGAAGAGUUUCUGUCAGUUUAUUUUGUUUCCUUGAGUGGGCCAUGUUUUUCGGUUUCUUUGCAUGUCCUCUUUUUGUUGUUGUUGUUAAAAAUUGGGGAUUUAACUAUUUUAUUUUUGAAAAUUUAUUUAUUUAUUUAUUUUUGGCUGCGUUGGGUCUUUGUUGCUGCACGCGGGCUUUCUCUAGUUGUGGCGAGCGGGGGCUACUCUUCGUUGCAGUGCGCGGGCUUCUCAUUGUGGUGGCUUCUCUUGUUGCAGAGCACAGGCUCUAGGUGCUCAGGUUUCAGUAGUUGUGGCAUGGGGGCUCAGUAGUUGUGACUGGCGGGCUUAGUUGCUCUGCGGCAUGUGGGAUCUUCCUGCACCAGAGCUCGAACCCGUGUCCCCUGCAUUGACAGGCGGAUUGUUAACCACUGAGCCACCAGGGAAGUGCCGAUAUGACUCUUUUAAUGUGAUAACUCUGGAAGUUAAAUUCUUUCCCUUACCUAAGGUUUGUAGUUUUUUUUUUUUUUAAUUGUAGAAAUCUGCAGUAGCCUAUUUUGAGACUUUUCCAAGCUAUUGUUGCAAACACCAUUCCUUGUCUGUGAUUACUGAAGUCUGUGUUUCUUUAGCUUGUGUUUAAUGUUUUGACAGUGUUUCUUUUUUAAAAUUAAAAAAAAUUUU